RNAcentral lists this ribosomal RNA (291 nucleotides) under uncultured Enterobacteriaceae bacterium. RNAcentral's name for it is "partial 16S ribosomal RNA". It matches the Rfam family "Bacterial small subunit ribosomal RNA", at positions 505 to 796 of the family's 1533-position model. The record is from RNAcentral. Lineage: Bacteria; Pseudomonadati; Pseudomonadota; Gammaproteobacteria; Enterobacterales; Enterobacteriaceae.
GUGCCAGCCGCCGCGGUAAUACGGAGGGUGCAAGCGUUAAUCGGAAUUACUGGGCGUAAAGCGCACGCAGGCGGUCUGUUAAGUCAGAUGUGAAAUCCCCGGGCUCAACCCGGGAACUGCAUUUGAAACUGGCAGGCUGGAGUCUUGUAGAGGGGGGUAGAAUUCCAGGUGUAGCGGUGAAAUGCGUAGAGAUCUGGAGGAAUACCGGUGGCGAAGGCGGCCCCCUGGACAAAGACUGACGCUCAGGUGCGAAAGCGUGGGGAGCAAACAGGAUUAGAUACCCUGUAGUCC